Molecule: long non-coding RNA, 554 nt
Organism: Etheostoma spectabile (orangethroat darter)
Lineage: Eukaryota; Metazoa; Chordata; Actinopteri; Perciformes; Percidae
Exons: 3
Source: RefSeq, a predicted model, not a curated record
CCACCUAGUGUGACACAUCAGGGCGGAGGACGGGCUGCUCUGCUCGGGGACUCACAGCGAAGCCAGCCACGCACGGUUACUACUCCAAAGGCCUUUAGAGACCACUGCAGCAUUAUUCUCUUUUACUGGGAAACUUUCAGCAGCAGCAGAAAGUCUCAGCAGUGUCUCGCGAGAGGUCGGAUCACGCUAUCACUGAUAAAACGGGGAGAAAAUGGCAGUAAAUCUGAGCAAGAAUGGCUCCUCACUCAUGGACGCGUACAGGGAGGUGGUGGACGAGAAGUCGGACACAAACUGGGUGCUCUUCACUUAUGAAGGGAACAGUAACGACAUCCGUCUGGCAGAUAAAGGAGAUGGGGAUUAGAGGAGAUGUUGGAGGAGCUGAACAGCGGGAAGGUGAGUAUGCUCGUGCGAUGGGUCCAGGGACCAAACUCGGUCUGCCAAAUAUGUCUCCAAAAAUGGGUGAGACCAAACACACACCACACACACAUUAAACACACAACAAAACUACACAUUACCACCCACACACAAACCACACACACACACACACAACCCAA